UCUGUCAUUUAUAACUUUAAACCGGACCUGAACCGUUCCAAAUACCAUUGUUUUCGAAUUGAUGUAUCGAUUAAAGCGAAAUGUGAGAGAGGGAAUCCAAGGAAUCCAAAUUCCCAAGUAGGGAAGAAGACCUCUGCUACAUCCCGCGUUUGUGAAGGCUCCAUGCAAUCAUUUUUCGGUUGAGAACAAUUGACCGAGAAAACGCCUCAGAACGAGUGAAAAAUCAACAUUGCAAGAGAAGGUUUCAAUCAUGGAUAGAUUGAUUGAGAAAGCUCCGACAACGAUCGUGCAUUUUGUUCGACCAAGAGAAGGAGGUCAAGCGAUGAAAGGGGUUUUUCAUCUAGCAUAAUCCAUCCUCGCCUCUUCUGUGUCGAGGCUGCUCUCUGUUUCUCCUUUAAGCGUCUUAAGUUGUCUCUCCAUCAUCAUCUUCAGUCUCACGAAAUAAGGCAUCUGACCAAGUCCUUAUCAUCAAAGGAAGUUAUAUAAUGCUUCGGGUUGCUUUAACCAAGUUCGUAGCUUUGUUUUGACAGUACCUUAGUAUUCUAUAUUUAUAGUAGUCACUAGGACAUUGCAUGAAAUUUGCCAUAAGAUGAUGCACACACAAGUCUGGAUUUGCAUGCCUCUGAUUCCUGAUUAUUUCUUCGUGUGCUUCACCAUUGGAGAUCACGGAAGCUGGUUUCUUCAGAGCUUGGCUUCUCACAAAUAGUUUGCUCCAUCUUGAUAACAGAACCCUUGCCCUGUUCGAUAUGUCUGAUCUUCAAAUCAGAUAAAUGAGUUUCAAAAGGCCAUGCUAGGAACUUAAAAUGAUGAACUGGAAAACAACAAGAAGAUGACUUUCUUCCAGAAUAAAAGUAUAUCCUCAUCACGAGAAUUUAAAAAAAAAAUGAAGUAGUUCUCAAAAAAUGUUUGAAUUUCACAACAGGUGGGCAACCAAGUGCUCGAGGCAGGGUCUGGGGAAGGACAAACGUACGCAGCUUUACCCUGUACACACAGAGGUGUUGUUUCCAAUUGAAUUUCACAACAGCUAAAUUUAUAGGAUUCAGAUGACCGUGUCCCUAUCUGGUGCUGUGAAUGGAGUGCAAGCACACAAUCUUUUACCUCUAUACAUCAUUUUGGCUAGGCCCAUUUCUGACAUUGCAGUUGCAGGGCAACAGAAUUCUGCAGUCUUUUGCCUUGUGUGAACCUGUCUUAUAGUUGCUUCAAAUGAAUUUGAGGGGAGGAGUCAAACUGAAGCAAAUAUUAUUCUCCCUGAGAUUCAUAGGCUUUCAGCUAAUGAAAAAGCUAGCAAACUCGCCCUCUUACUUGUCAGCUGUGGGGAAGCUAACAAUUCCUCACCUGGAAGUCCUAUGGCAAAGGGCCAUUCGGAUAUGACAUCAUUUUCAUGUAAUUUCUUGUGGCAUUUAUUGGGAGGCAAAACCAGAGCUGUGCCAUGACCGUUAGCGGUAGCCAUUGUCCUCACAGGGACAGUUCGAACAGAAGACGAGGAAUUGGGCAUUUAAGGGAAAAGGAGGGGAGAGCUAGGUGCUGGAAUUAAUGGUAAUAGAUGAGGGGGAUUUCAAUUUUCAAAGCUCCAUCCAACACGGAACGGGCCCCAUUUAAGUUGAGCAGCAAGGGAAGGGAGGGGCACCAUCAACAGCAUCAGGGCUGAGCUGCUGAGAGCCUCAGCCUGUGAUCCCUUCACGAUUCUGGGACGAGUUCCAUGUGCUGCUGAGAGCCUCAGAUUUUCUAAUCGAAUUCAAAUUAGAAUAAUGCCUGAUUCGGUUUGAAUUUAAUCCUUUUACAUCCCUAUCAAUGCACCAGUAGUAUUGGAAAUAAAUUAUAAACUUUUUUUUUUUUUUUAAUUUCCUCCGCUGGUUUCUUCUUAUUUGAUUGGAUUGGGAAAGUAGUG
RNA transcript from Nelumbo nucifera (sacred lotus), 1888 nucleotides. RefSeq lists it as uncharacterized. The record is from RefSeq and is a predicted model, not a curated record. NCBI's taxonomy places the organism in Eukaryota, Viridiplantae, Streptophyta, Magnoliopsida, Proteales, Nelumbonaceae.